ACUACGGGGGGCUGCAGUGGGGAAUAUUGGGCAAUGGGCGCAAGCCUGACCCAGCAACGCCGCGUGAAGGAAGAAGGCUUUCGGGUUGUAAACUUCUUUUCUCAGGGACGAAGCAAGUGACGGUACCUGAGGAAUAAGCCACGGCUAACUACGUGCCAGCAGCCGCGGUAAUACGUAGGUGGCAAGCGUUAUCCGGAUUUACUGGGUGUAAAGGGCGUGUAGGCGGGAAAGCAAGUCAGAUGUGAAAACCAUGGGCUCAACCUGUGGCCUGCAUUUGAAACUGUUUUUCUUGAGUACUGGAGAGGCAGACGGAAUUCCUAGUGUAGCGGUGAAAUGCGUAGAUAUGAGGAGGAACACCAGUGGCGAAGGCGGUCUGCUGGACAGCAACUGACGCUGAGGCGCGAAAGCGUGGGGAGCAAACAGGAUUAGAUACCCGGGUAGUC
Molecule: ribosomal RNA, 443 nt
Filed under: uncultured bacterium
Lineage: Bacteria
Description: partial 16S ribosomal RNA
Rfam family: Bacterial small subunit ribosomal RNA
Source: RNAcentral